Molecule: ribosomal RNA, 253 nt
Filed under: uncultured bacterium
Lineage: Bacteria
Description: partial 16S ribosomal RNA
Rfam family: Bacterial small subunit ribosomal RNA
Source: RNAcentral
UACAGAGGUGGCAAGCGUUGUUCGGAAUUACUGGGCGUAAAGCGCGCGUAGGCGGUUUUGUAAGUCGGGUGUGAAAUCCCCAAGCUUAACUUGGGAACUGCAUUCGAGACUGCAUAGCUAGAGUAUGGGAGAGGGAAGUGGAAUUUCAGGUGUAGCGGUGAAAUGCGUAGAUAUCUGAAGGAACAUCAGUGGCGAAAGCGACUUCCUGGACCAAUACUGACGCUCAUGUGCGAAAGCGUGGGGAGCAAACAGG